Molecule: microRNA precursor, 74 nt
Filed under: Cricetulus griseus (Chinese hamster)
Lineage: Eukaryota; Metazoa; Chordata; Mammalia; Rodentia; Cricetidae
Description: mir-219
Source: RNAcentral
AACCACAGAUGUCCAGCCACAAUUCUCGGUUGGCCGCAGACUCGUACAAGAAUUGCGUUUGGACAAUCAGUGGC